AGAUUGAACGCUGGCGGCAGGCCUAACACAUGCAAGUCGAGCGGCAGCACGGGUACUUGUACCUGGUGGCGAGCGGCGGACGGGUGAGUAAUGCCUAGGAAUCUGCCUGGUAGUGGGGGAUAACGCUCGGAAACGGACGCUAAUACCACAUACGUCCUACGGGAGAAAGCAGGGGACCUUCGGGCCUUGCGCUAUCAGAUGAGCCUAGGUCGGAUUAGCUAGUUGGUGAGGUAAUGGCUCACCAAGGCGACGAUCCGUAACUGGUCUGAGAGGAUGAUCAGUCACACUGGAACUGAGACACGGUCCAGACUCCUACGGGAGGCAGCAGUGGGAAUAUUGGACAAUGGGCGAAAGCCUGAUCCAGCCAUGCCGCGUGUGUGAAGAAGGUCUUCGGAUCGUAAAGCACUUUAAGUGGAGAAGGCAGUUACCUAAUACGUAUCUGUUUUGACGUUACCGACAGAAUAAGCACGGCUAACUCUGUCG
RNAcentral lists this ribosomal RNA (483 nucleotides) under uncultured soil bacterium. RNAcentral describes it as "bacterial SSU rRNA". It matches the Rfam family "Bacterial small subunit ribosomal RNA", at positions 26 to 508 of the family's 1533-position model. The record is from RNAcentral.